RNAcentral lists this ribosomal RNA (547 nucleotides) under uncultured bacterium. RNAcentral describes it as "partial 16S ribosomal RNA". It matches the Rfam family "Bacterial small subunit ribosomal RNA", at positions 355 to 895 of the family's 1533-position model. The record is from RNAcentral.
UGGGGAAUUUUGGACAAUGGGGGAAACCCUGAUCCAGCCAUCCCGCGUGUGCGAUGAAGGCCUUCGGGUUGUAAAGCACUUUUGGCAGGAAAGAAACGUCGCGGGUUAAUACCCCGCGAAACUGACGGUACCUGCAGAAUAAGCACCGGCUAACUACGUGCCAGCAGCCGCGGUAAUACGUAGGGUGCAAGCGUUAAUCGGAAUUACUGGGCGUAAAGCGUGCGCAGGCGGUUCGGAAAGAAAGAUGUGAAAUCCCAGAGCUUAACUUUGGAACUGCAUUUUUAACUACCGGGCUAGAGUGUGUCAGAGGGAGGUGGAAUUCCGCGUGUAGCAGUGAAAUGCGUAGAUAUGCGGAGGAACACCGAUGGCGAAGGCAGCUUCCUGGGAUAACACUGACGCUCAUGCACGAAAGCGUGGGGAGCAAACAGGAUUAGAUACCCUGGUAGUCCACGCCCUAAACGAUGUCAACUAGCUGUUGGGGCCUUCGGGCCUUGGUAGCGCAGCUAACGCGUGAAGUUGACCGCCUGGGGAGUACGGUCGCAAGAUU